RNAcentral lists this transfer RNA (90 nucleotides) under Candidatus Riflebacteria bacterium RBG_13_59_9. Its description in RNAcentral is "tRNA-Ser". It matches the Rfam family "tRNA". Rfam says of the family: Transfer RNA (tRNA) molecules are approximately 80 nucleotides in length. Their secondary structure includes four short double-helical elements and three loops (D, anti-codon, and T loops). The record is from RNAcentral. Lineage: Bacteria; Candidatus Rifleibacteriota.
GGAGAGGUGGCCGAGCGGUUGAAGGCGGCAGUCUCGAAAACUGUUAUGCGGGUUUCCCCCGCAUCGGGGGUUCGAAUCCCCCCCUCUCCG